UAGAUUAAUUUAUUGUGAGGUAGACUUAUGU
RNAcentral lists this non-coding RNA (31 nucleotides) under Mus musculus (house mouse). The record is from RNAcentral. Lineage: Eukaryota; Metazoa; Chordata; Mammalia; Rodentia; Muridae.